This 30-nucleotide non-coding RNA is filed under the name Mus musculus (house mouse). The record is from RNAcentral. Lineage: Eukaryota; Metazoa; Chordata; Mammalia; Rodentia; Muridae.
UCAAGAUGUACAUUGCCUUUGUGUUCAAGG